Long non-coding RNA from Dicentrarchus labrax (European seabass), 3041 nucleotides. RefSeq lists it as uncharacterized. The transcript is spliced from 2 exons. The record is from RefSeq and is a predicted model, not a curated record. NCBI's taxonomy places the organism in Eukaryota, Metazoa, Chordata, Actinopteri, Moronidae.
GGUGGAGGAAGGGUGAUUCCCUGUGUGCUUUCAAAGGGGGGGUCGGGGGAGCAAAAAAAAGGUGACAUAGCUCACAGUGUCCUGUCACUGUCACAGAAGUGGAUGGUGUACCCAUCUAAAAAGAGUUUACCCAUCCUUUUAUGCUGCCAUAAAUAUUUAUUCACAUCAAACACAAUAUGAAACUGAGAAAAGCUGACCCAGGAGUUUAUAUAAACAAAUUAGUUCUCUUUUAGAACUUUUGUUCAUACUGUUGGUUAUAAUUUCUUGCUGACACUGGGUCAGUUUGCCCCCUUACUUUUGCCAUGUAACUAAAUGAGUGGCAUCACAUCAGCACUGCAUUAUUCCCCCCCCAUUUUUUUCCAAAACCAACACACAGCAGGGGCUUAAUUAGAAAUGUAGUGUAGCUGAACCACCAGCAAGCACACUGGUGCAGUCUAGUUUACAUCAGUACAGAGAAAACAGAAAAUAAUGUCCCCACAAACUCUCAGAGGCAGUUUAGUGACAAACAUAUUUAUUUAUUUACGUUUAGCAACCUUGAAAAUAUUUUGUGCCAUUAAAUGAAUGUAUAUGGGGACGUAAAGCUGCAAUCAAAGUUUAACUUUUAUUUCAACCCUCCUAAACAUUUGAAAUAUUAAUUAUAAUGCUUAAAAAUAGAAUAGAUUAGCAAACACAGCAAUAGUGUGAAAUAUAAUUUUAAUAUAUCAUACAUUUCUAAUUGAAAGCACUAUUAAAAUAAUAUUUAAACCAAAAGAUACCCCUCUCGCUGCCUCACCCACACACAUACACAUGGACAAAAACCCUCUUGAGACUUGUGUAUUUUCAUUUGAAAGGUGUGUGUCUGGUGUUUGCAUGUGUGGGCACAUGUGUGUAAAAAAGACAGUGAAGUGAAGGUGGCCUGUGUUUAGUGUCCAGACCUGGCAGAUUGUGACCUUAUCAAUGUGAAACUCUUAAGAUAAAUUAUUCAUAGCACCUGUUUGAUGUCUCCAGCCAAAGAAUGACAAAGGUGUAAGAUUUGAGAUGCAUCUUAAAGCCAUGAAUAUCAGUUAGUGUGCUACCUCUCUCUUUUUUGGAGCAGGAAAAAAAAGGGAUGGGCUGCAUUUUAAACAACAAAAAUGAACAAUUUGUUUUCUAACAGGGGCCGCAGAAGAAAGCGACCAGAGAACCACCGUAGAUUGCAGAGAGCGACAUGGCGGGCAGGCGUUCGGAAACACAGCAGGAAGCGUCAGUGUGGGGCAAGGAAUGACACUGGGAUGGGAUAUAAUUUAUGGCGAGUGCCGUUUGAUUAUAGGACAGUGACGGUGAUACCACUACUUAGUAUGAGUGUUGGGAUCACUUGACAUGACAGCCAUGCAGUAACAAGCUUAUUGUACUUAAUCAUACAUGUGGUAAAUAUAACAACAACGGUAAAUGAAUAGUCUCUCAGAAUAGAUUUUAAGAGGCUGCCCUCCUGGAAUUUUAUUGCUCAGUUCAAAUUUUGUUUUUUCAUUAAGCACAUUGUUGGAGUGUGUGUUUAACAAGUACUAUUCCAAGAUUGUCUGCUAAGCCAAGCAUCCUGGAACUCAAAUUCUUCCUCAAUGAUUUGUUUUGGAAAAAGACCAUAGUAUACUUUUUGGGAAACUGGCAGCUGUGCUUUUCAUAGCUACAGGUCAACAUAACACUCAGUAUUAAUAAAACAAAUAAGACUGGGAUGGAUAUUAAUGAUGAUAUAUACAGAUGUACUACACAUGGGCUUGAAUUAUGUGUGAGACACUCUCACAGACACUCUCACACAUGUUUGUGUGUUUACUUGUCUGUGUGUGUGUGUGUGUGUGUGUGUGUGUGUGUGUGUGUGUGAGUGAGUGCCUGUGAUAGCUGAGUCCAUUUCCCUCAGAUGCUACCUUUGACCCCACAGUCGGGGUCAAGCCCUGACAAAUGAGAUGGUCGAGUUCUGGCCAGAACUGCAAACAUUCCACAACAAUCUUCUGUCCUCCUCCCCUCUCUUCAUAUCCGUCAUUCCUCACCCCUUCCCUCCUCUCAGUGUGUCUCUUCCACGGCUUGGAGAAAGUCAGAGAAAGUUCUCAUUACAAACAAAAAUGCUUUAUUGUAUUUGCUGUGGGAAUCUUAAAGCACACACCCUUAAAAUUACAACAAGAAUUACAACGUCAGCGCUAAAUUGACCAUCUUUGACAUCUUCCUUGUUCACAGAAGGAAAGAAAACAAAAGAGGAUGAUCUUAGAGGAGAAGCUGUGUUAAAGAUUUGGAUAUUACAAACCUGCACUUUGAAAGCACACUGUGUGUUUGGAAAGCUUGUCAGUGAUGUCAAGGAUGAGAAAUGUUGCAGUGUGGCUUUUUACACACGCUGCUGGCUCUAGCAUUUCCGGCAACAUUUCUCACUCUGCCUCCCUCACACCAUCCGCUCUGCUGCAAUAUCCCCACAUUUUUCCAUCCUUUCACUUCUUCCCCUACCCUCCCUCCCUCCCUGUUCGCCUUCUCUCUGCUCUCUGACCACUCUUACCCUUCCUCUCUGCUGCACCACCCUGCCCAAUCUCAGCCUAUCCCUCCCUUCUCUCUCCUCACAGCACAUUCAGCCCACCCACCCCCCCUCCUCCACCCACUAUUUUCACAGAUUUUCAAACAUGCCGUUCCACAGAAUACUACCACCUGUGUCUUUAGGGAGAAAAGGGGGGGUUGUAUUGGUAUUCCUCUUCGGGAAGCUGGUUAAGGUAAGUGGCACCCUCUAUUACAAUGACACGGCAAAUAAUGGUUCUGCUUGUGUUUCUGUAUUACCUUUUUUUCAUGGAAUGACCCCGGCUUCCUAAGCAUCACCACCCUCCAUCAGAGCUCUAGCUACAAGUCACUGCUGUAAAAACACACAUAGUCACUAUUGAUGAACGUCAGCAGAGCAGCCACAGUGCCACAAAAGGAGCCUGGAGACCAACAAAGCUGGCUGAUACAGUAACACUGAGUGGAUCAUGCUCUUGAACUUGCUUUCAUAAUGAUGUAAUAUUACUAAAAGGCAAUGCAACACAGCAAAGACCUUAAUAAAAACACAUCAAUCUCGA